AAGGGAACACCCAAAAGAGGAAGAAACGACCUGCGGCCAACUUGUACCACUACCUGUUCCAGCAGGUAAGACACUGCAAGCAUUCCUAAGAUUCCAUGGAAGCAAGAUGCAAAUAGACUGCUCAUGGCCCCAUUUCAAUCCUCAAAACAGACUUGGCUGUUUCAGUAGAGGACUCCAUCAUUACUGGGAGCAAGUAAAAGGUGCCGUCAUUUCACCUAGAAGGCACCUGCCACAGAUGCACACUGAUCAAGCAGGAGGGAAACAGUCUCCUCUGAAGACAAAGACUGGGCUGCACGUUCUGGCUCACUCCAGACAGAUGCAAACACCUGCCUGUUUCUUCUCUGCAGUCCGUAUUGCAUCAUGAACUUCUAGUGCC
RNAcentral lists this long non-coding RNA (376 nucleotides) under Mus spretus (western wild mouse). RNAcentral describes it as "predicted gene 13748 (ENSMSPG00010020103.1)". The record is from RNAcentral. Lineage: Eukaryota; Metazoa; Chordata; Mammalia; Rodentia; Muridae.